This 5543-nucleotide long non-coding RNA is filed under the name Vitis vinifera (wine grape). RNAcentral describes it as "long non-coding RNA (VVIN_LNC006691)". The record is from RNAcentral. Lineage: Eukaryota; Viridiplantae; Streptophyta; Magnoliopsida; Vitales; Vitaceae.
GACUGUAUUGGGCUGAAGAAAUCCUUAGUAUACUACCGUGGAAGUGCAGGAAAAGGCACCAAAACUGAUUGGAUGAUGCAUGAGUUUCGCCUCCCCGCAAACCAGAAAAAUACCAACCUCCCCAAUGCCAAGGCUGCUGACCAAGAAGCUGUAAGAAAAAAAAUAAACUACUCAGAAAUAUAUACACACAUGAAUUAAUUGUUUGUUUGACAAUUACAUGUUUUUCUUUGUGAGGUUGCAGGAAAUAUGGACACUAUGUCGAAUUUUCAAGCGAGAUGUGUCGUACAGAAAGUACACACCAGAUUGGAGAGAAUCAUCUGCUAGACACAAUCCAGUGAAUGCAAGAACUAAAACAUGCGAUGCGGAUUCGGAAAACUUGGAAUAUUACAAUAUUAGUUUUGGAGCUUCAGCUGCUCUUGAUGAUGAGAAGAAGCCUGUUGUUGGUCACAGUAUGGAUGGAAGGAUCCAGUUGCAUGUAGGUUCAGAGCCGGAGUCAUGCUCAACUGUUUUGAGUGAGGAAGCUAGGGAGUUCUUUACAAAUGGGAAUUGGGAUGAGAUUGUAUCAGCCAUGGAUUUUGCUUUUGAUCCAUAUCAUCUGUGAAUAACUAUGGAAUUUGCUUGUAGCUGAAUUCACCUUGCACUUCUAUUUUUUAAAUUAAGGCUAUAUUUGGUUUCAAAAUAUUCGACUAAAAAUUAUGAGGGAAGGAAAAUAGAGAGUAAAAGUUGAAGAAAAGAAAAAGUUCAAGAAAACUAAAAAAUAAAUUCAAAGUCAAUAAAUUAUUUCUAAAUACUUCUUCAAAUUCAUUUAACUUAUUUUCCUCUAUUAUAUAAAGAUUAAAUAAUUUUAAAAUGUAUAAAUUUUUAAUUAAUUUUAAUUAGAUUUUAUUUUCUUUCAUAUUUUUUCAUAAUGAAACCAAAUAUUAUAAGAUUUUUCGUAACACUUUUUUCUUUCCUUAGUACUUUUCGGAAAUGAACAUAACCUAAAAUAUUAUACUAAUUAUUAAGAAACUUUACUAGACCAAACAGAUCUAUAAUACUCUAUAAAAAAUUAUUAGGGAAUAAAUAUAAUAACUCGCAUUUAAUUGUAUAGAUAUUAUUCGCUCUGGGCCUAAAGAGACCCAUAUGACUUUAAAAUAUGUCUACAAGGUUAAGAGGAGUUCAUAUUUAUAUAAUGACAUAAACUUUUUCUCCUAUUUGAUAUGAGACGUUGCAAACAUCUCCCAUGUAAACACAAUAUUAUUGUUAUGUCCCAUGGGAUUAUAAGACCAAAUAAACUGACACCCCUCACGGGGCCAAACAAACUCUCACACCAGGGUCAAGAAUCGGCUUUGAUGUCAUUUAUAACGACUCGUAUCCAAUCGUAUAGAUAUUGUUUGCUUUGAGCCCAAAUGGGCUAUUACGACUUUAAAAUACGUCUAUAAGGUUAAGAGAAGUUUAUACUUAUAUAGUAUUAAAAGCUUUAUCCCUUAUUCAACAUGGGACAUCAUAAUAAAUGUAUAUUUGUAAUAAACUAUUGACUUAUUUGUUUUUAUUUCGUUCCAUUCAUUUUUUAAAAUUUUUUGUUCCAUUCAUUCUAAUUUAAGAUUACGUUACUUUGAUUUAUAAUUCCUAUGAAGACUUAUGGUUAAAACAAAAUCUUCGAGAAUUAUAUCGAUAAGCAUGGUUGAAUUAAUUGGAAAUAAUGAUCUAAAAGACAUAAAAUACACUUAUAUGGAAAUUGGAAAUGAAGUGAACUUGGAAAACAAUUUUAGUUCAAUGCUGUACAUUAAGAAAAAGGAGACUGGGUGUUUAAAAUUUGAGAAAAAUAGAAAUCUUAAUUAGAGCACUAAAGCACCCUCAAGGGUGCUCUCAUCGCUCAAGUGGCCUUAGUAGGUGCUUAGUGCUUGAGAUAGGAUUGCCUAAAUUUACCAAGUUUCCAAAAUUUCUCCGAGAUCCUAAUUUCUAUUUGGGUAAAAUUUGAUUUCUAUUUAAACCUCCAUUUAUGUUUUUAUGUGAUCGCAGCAUAAAAAAGAAAGUCUGAAUUUUCCAUAGAAGCCAGCUCGAAAUAUUUGAUCUUAGGUGCAUUUCCCUCUGGAAUAUUUUUGUUUGGGUAUAUGACCGGACAACUACCGAUAUCUAUUAAUAUCUUUUCUUAGAAUGUUGUUGUUAAAUAUAUAAUUAUCUAUCUAUUUCGUAAACUAUCAGAUCGGGUUUAGAUGUGAAACUUGCAGACCUCAUUGGUUGUGAUAUUGAUCUUACGGGGGGGAACGAAAUCAAAGAAUAUAGAGACUUGUAGAAACCCUCUAUGUAGUUCUCUAUCUAGGGCGAUCGAUCUACAUCUUUCCCCAUAGCCCUGGGGCUAUGUCUCGAUCUUCUACGUGCGAAAUCUGAGGGACUAGUUCCUAUGGAGAUUCCGCUUGGUCUAAUUCCACGCCUUAUGACGAAAGGGGAGUCGACGUGGCGUAAAGUGAAGAUUGAGGGGAGUAGAGCAAAAUUCCCUUCUGGGUCUUCCGAAGGUGUAACCUAGGCAACGAAAAAGGGGCCCGAUACUUCAACUAGAGGAGCGACCAGUUGGUUCACCAAACCCCGACCCAGCGUCACACGUUCUCCAGGCCCGAGGGGAUCCAGUGCCUAACUACCGACUCCUCUUGGAAUUGCGUUAUCGGAGCCGAGCCAGGAAUGGCCGUUAGUGGACACCCACCACUUUUCACAGGUUAGAGAGGCCCUCUUUAAUACAUGAAGAAAAGAUGUUCAUAGGGGCUAGAAAGACUCGGUCAUAGGAACUUAGACCACCUACGCGCUGGUAAACGAAAACCACCUCGACCCGAUCAGAGUAAACAACAAUGUCAAAUCAGGUUUUUCUUCCUUGAAAGAAUUCACACGCGGCCACCAGCUUUCCCAAAAUAAAGGGAGAUUCGCUGCUUACUGCUCAUGAAAACAUUCGACCUAUACUUAUAGUCAAGUCGUUCGCGUAUCCUUUUGAUCUCCUUUCCUUCUAUUCAUCAUAUUUUUGGCUUUGACCAAUUCAAAGUGAAAAAUGGGGUUGAUGAUGUUGGCUAAAAAGGAGGGAGGGGAUCCGUAUAUGUUGUUCAGGUUGAUCAAAGGGUGCAGAAAUAGUGUCUAAUGUAGAGCAAUUUUUCUUUACGCAAAGGUGGUGUUUGUUUUUUGGCUGAAUAGAAAAAGCCAAAAUAUUUGGCUUUUUCUAUUCAGUUAAAAGUAACCCUCUGACAUCAUUCAAUACAAUUAAAUUGAACUUAUUUGAUAACAAAUUAAUUUUAACUAUGUUCGAUGAUGUCAACACACAACUUUUACCUAAAUAGAAAAAGCCAAANNNNNNNNNNNNNNNNNNNNNNNNNNNNNNNNNNNNNNNNNNNNNNNNNNNNNNNNNNNNNNNNNNNNNNNNNNNNNNNNNNNNNNNNNNNNNNNNNNNNUUUAAAAGUCAUAUGGGUCUCUUUAGGCCCAGAGCGAAUAAAUAUCUAUACAAUUAAAUGCGAGUAUUAUAUUAUUCCCUAAUAAUUUUUUAUAGAGUAUAUAGAUCUGUUGGGUCUAGUAAAGUUUCUUAAUAAUUAGUAUAAUAUUUUUAGGUUAUGUUCAUUUCCGAAAAGUACUAAGGAAAGAAAAAAGUGUUACGAAAAAUCUUAUAAUAUUUGGUUUCAUUAUGAAAAAAUAUGAAAGAAAAUAAAAUCUAAUUAAAAUUAAUUUAAAAAUUUAUACAUUUUAAAAUUAUUUAAUCUUUAUAUAAUAGAGGAAAAUAAGUUAAAUGAAUUUGAAGAAGUAUUUAGAAAUAAUUUAUUGACUUUGAAUUUAUUUUUUAGUUUUCUUGAACUUUUUCUUUUCUUCAACUUUUACUCUCUAUUUUCCUUCCCUCAUAAUUUUUAGUCGAAUAUUUUGAAACCAAAUAUAGCCUUAAUUUAAAAAAUAGAAGUGCAAGGUGAAUUCAGCUACAAGCAAAUUCCAUAGUUAUUCAGCCAAAAAACAAACACUACCUAAGUCUUACUUCAUUAUCUUUGUACUUAACCCGACUCUCUCAAGAAGUAUCUUUUUGUUCAUGAGCUUCAACUAAUAAAAUCAUACCACCUCAAGGAGUUGAAGAAUCCACUAAGGAGCACAGGGGUGCUACGUUGUAAGCAAAAAAUAGGUAAAGUUGGUGACAAUGUAUUUAUGAGGGAGUAACAAUUACGAAAUAAAUUUGUGUACGUGCUUCUUCAAAAUUAAUGGAUUAUAGUUUUACGGUUUGAUUUUUCCAUGUAAAUCACUUAUGUACUUGUGUGAUUAAAAUUAUUAGAUUAAUAAUUAAAGAACCCAUUUAAGAAAUUUUAAUCUUUGGGUUAAAUGGAGAAAUACUACUUAUUUUAUAUGUAUAAUACUAAUUAACUUUUUCUAAAUUAAUAUUAAUAUUUUUUAUAUCUAAAAUUUAUUUCAAUUUAACAAUGCCUAAACUGUGUCAAAUUGAAAAACAAGCAAAACAUAAUUUCAAGAAGGCGAUUCGAACUUUGUCAAAUUUAUUUCAGAAUUAUUUAUGAUAAUCAUAAGGAAAAGAAACUAGAAUUUAAUAAUUUAUAAAAUCUUCACCAUAUAUACAUUUUAUUAUAUUUUUUUUCAAUAAAAUUUACUAUCUUUCUCAUAUAUAUUUUAUAAGUAUUUUGUUUAUUUGUUACAGUAUUGAUUAUUAUAAAUAGAUAUAUUUUUUAUAUUUGAACAAUUUAGUUGAUUAAUCAUAAGUAUAUUAAAAUAUUUUAAUCAAUAUCACUUUAAAAUAAAAGUAAAACGAAAUUUAAAAAAUGAUAAACAAAUGUAAUAUAAUAAUUAAACCAUAUACAAUGUAGAAGAAGUAUUUUAUUAUUAUUAGUGGUGAUAUAUAAUAUCAUAAUGGUUAUAUCAAUAUAUCUCAUAAAAUUUGAAUUAUAUAAAAAUUUAAUCAUAUAUAUUUUUAUAAUUAUUUUAUAUUAAGUAAAACUUAAAACCAAACAAGGUUUCGUAAACUUUAUUUUUUAAUCAAACGCACUAAAAAAUAAAUAUAGGAAGUAUGAAUUUUGAAUUUCGGAAUUGACGAAGACAGACAAAAGUAAAAAAAAAAAAAAUUUGAUUAAAAAAAUAAUUGAUAACUUAAUUUUAGAAAUCUAACUUUUCGUGGUUUUAUGGUCUCAUUUACAUAUAUUAUAAAAAUAACAUUUCUAUUAAAACAUAUGUAAAUAUUUAAAAUAAUUAAAGAUAUUUGUAUAAAAAAUAGAAUACUCUUCAAACAAAAACAUAAAAAAAAAAAAAAAAAGAGGUUAAAUUCAUACAUACGAAGAUGUUCGUACCUUUUAACACAAUAGAAUAUAGGAAGCAAGAGCAUUACUACGUGGAAGGGUCGGGUCUAAAACCCUAGAUGGGGACCUCAUCCGCUAGUGGCCAACUCAACAUAACUAGAAAAAUCCACGGCAUGGAGAAGGCCUAGUCCAUUGGACCUGGUCGAUCCCAUUUGCUGAGGGUAGGAGCCCGGCUAAUAAAUCGAGUUGACCGAUUAGCCCGCCUCAAAAAAGACAGGACACGCUGCAUGAGAGCAAUUGUGGUCGAAGUUU